Molecule: long non-coding RNA, 1012 nt
Organism: Brassica rapa (field mustard)
Lineage: Eukaryota; Viridiplantae; Streptophyta; Magnoliopsida; Brassicales; Brassicaceae
Source: RefSeq, a predicted model, not a curated record
UUCAGUUUCAUCAAACAUUGUUUUUCUCGCCAGAACUUUGUAACUGAAGAAGUUGAUUUCAGCCUUAACUUCCAUCAAUAAAUUAUUAGAGAUUAACGAUGGAAUUCAUUGGCAUCAAACCAUGAAUUUUUCAUCCUUCUAGCUUCCCUCAAGUCUUAACUAUUUUCAUACACUAUUUAUAUGGAGCUGAAGAGGACGGCUAUGUGCAUCAAAUCGUCACUGUCUUCUAUUAUACCUAAGAACCUGCAAGCAGGUUACAACAUGGCGAAUCCUCAACUGCCUCUUUCUGAGUUGGCUGGUCGGUACAAGGAAACCGGAUCCGUCUCCUGAUCAGUUUAUGGGAAGCAAGGAAUGUGGGGGAGAGCUGACGGGGAUUGACAUAUUUUGGCUGAUGAGAAGGUAUGUUAUCUACACUAUAUCUGUUCUUUCACAAACUCAGUAAUGAAAAACUGAAAAUAAUGUGUGACUGUGUUUUAUUGGGAUGUGGAGUCUAAUCUGAUCCAGGGAUCUAUGAGCUGAGAGGAGUAAUCAGUACUUCAAGCUCACCACAUCACCGCCUCUAUUAGAUUCACGCAACAUACCACCAUGGUCUAUAUUGCAGAAACCAUUAAUCCAUUACCAACGGAGGUCUUCAUGUUCCAUGAUUAGGAUGAGAUGGUGGUACUAGCAACACAGACACAUACUUACCAGGAUCGCAAUGCGCAACUCUACUUCACGAGAAAUUGGUGGCCUCAGGUGUUGAGCCCAAGGUGGUCGUCGCUACCAACGUGAAUCCUAAGCUGGUUGGAGGUUGUGUCUUCCUAAACGAGUGAGUGGCGCUGGCCAGAACGUUUUUGAAGCUUAAAAUCUAAACUCUCCAACCUUAUCUUUUAACCAAAAUUCUUUCUCCUGCUUAAAAUUUUUGAUUGAAACAAGAAAUUUUCCCAAGAUGUCUCAACUUCCCAAGUUCAAAGGUGUAAUAAUUUAAAGUUACUGGACAUACUGUUAUUGAAGUUGUUUUCUUGGUUUUCUA